AUUGAACGCUGGCGGCAUGCCUUACACACGCAAGUCGAACGGUAACAGGUCUUCGGAUGCUGACGAGUGGCGAACGGGUGAGUAAUACAUCGGAACGUGCCUAGUAGUGGGGGAUAACUACUCGAAAGAGUGGCUAAUACCGCAUGAGAUCUACGGAUGAAAGCAGGGGAUCGCAAGACCUUGUGCUACUAGAGCGGCCGAUGGCAGAUUAGGUAGUUGGUGGGAUAAAAGCUUACCAAGCCGACGAUCUGUAGCUGGUCUGAGAGGACGAUCAGCCACACUGGGACUGAGACACGGCCCAGACUCCUACGGGAGGCAGCAGUGGGGAAUUUUGGACAAUGGGCGCAAGCCUGAUCCAGCAAUGCCGCGUGCAGGAUGAAGGCCUUCGGGUUGUAAACUGCUUUUGUACGGAGCGAGAAGCCCCGGGUUAAUACCCUGGGGUCAUGACGGUACCGUAAGAAUAAGCACCGGCUAACUACGUGCCAGCCGCCGCCGUAA
RNAcentral lists this ribosomal RNA (498 nucleotides) under uncultured bacterium. Its description in RNAcentral is "partial 16S ribosomal RNA". It matches the Rfam family "Bacterial small subunit ribosomal RNA", at positions 30 to 523 of the family's 1533-position model. The record is from RNAcentral.